This 406-nucleotide ribosomal RNA is filed under the name uncultured bacterium. RNAcentral's name for it is "partial 16S ribosomal RNA". It matches the Rfam family "Bacterial small subunit ribosomal RNA", at positions 29 to 526 of the family's 1533-position model. The record is from RNAcentral.
AUUGAACGCUGGCGGCAGGCCUAACACAUGCAAGUCGAGCGAGCGGCGGACGGGUGAGGACUGUCUGGGAAACUGCCUGCUGGAGGGGGAUAACACCUGGAAACGGUAGCUAAUACCGCAUACCAUCAGAUGUGCGCAGAUGGGAUUUGCUGGUAGGUGGGGUAACGGCCCACAUAGGCGACGAUCCCUAGAUGGUCUGCGAGGAUGACCAGCCACACGGGAACGGAGACACGGUCCAGACCCCGACGGGAGGCAGCAGUGGGGAAUAUUGCACAAUGGGCGCAAGCCUGAUGCAGCCAUGCCGCGUGUAUGAAGAAGGCCUUCGGGUUGUAAAGUACUUUCAGCGGGGAGGCGUUACCCGCAGAAGAAGCACCGGCUAACUCCGUGCCAGCAGCCGCGGUAAUUC